This is a long non-coding RNA of Dermacentor albipictus, 956 nucleotides long. RefSeq lists it as uncharacterized. The record is from RefSeq and is a predicted model, not a curated record. Lineage: Eukaryota; Metazoa; Arthropoda; Arachnida; Ixodida; Ixodidae.
UAGAAUAGGCGCUUGUGUUUGCGAAAGGAACUAAACGCAGAUGUAUUAUGUAUGCGCUCUUGAAACAGCUGAUUCUGCCGCACGCGAAGAACGGUACAAACAAAUAAUACGUCGCGUAUACUUGAGAGGAGCAGUGUCACGCCAGUUGUCUUCUCAUUAUAAAGCUAGCAUGAUGUUCUGGUCCAUCACGCUGCUUGCCUUCACACUAGCGCACGGAACAACGGCCACGAUGAAGUCAGAGGCGGAACUGUUGAAAGUGAAUGGCUGGAAGGAAAUGGAUGCUCAAGGGAAUCCUUUGUACAAAACACUGGCUUCGAAGGCUGCUUCGAACUUUACCAAACAUAUAGAUUUCUACCAGGUGCUGAAUGAGGUGAUAUCAGUGAACAAAAAGGGUGAAAAGCACAGAAUUGAGUUUACUUACUCGCCUACGCCAUGCAGCGUUAAUGAAACAUUUGAUUCCGCAAAAUGCAAAGCAGUCACACCCAAGGCUUCCGGCGAGUGCACUUCAAUGUUCACAGUGAAGGAAAACAAAGCAGAAAGCGCCGUGCUCGAUUGGGUUCACUGCAAUGAUUUCAUGGCGCCAAAGCGCCGUCGCUAUCCGGAAAAUUAGGCGAAAGCUGAAGAGUACUAGGCAACACAUUUUAACAGCCAUGUGCAAAGCCCACAUAACCAAUGGUUUCCACCUCGAGUGGCAAACAAGGUUUCCAUAGUGUGUCAAACAUGACGUAAUUUUUUCCCUAUGGAUUGAGAAAUUUAGGCUAAGACUAACGAAAACAAUAUUUAAUCUCAUCAAAUGGGGACACAACUAAAUCACCUAGUUGCAGUAAAGAAAGCAUUUAGCGCUUGACGAUCAGAGACCAAUGGACACAAGGUCAGGACAAGAAUAAAGCACACAUGAAUUAUGGAUGUUUUAAUUAUGACUGAAAAUAAAUACGCACUGUUCGAUACAACACAAA